Molecule: long non-coding RNA, 355 nt
Organism: Coccinella septempunctata (seven-spotted ladybird)
Lineage: Eukaryota; Metazoa; Arthropoda; Insecta; Coleoptera; Coccinellidae
Exons: 3
Source: RefSeq, a predicted model, not a curated record
GGUUACCCAGGAUUCGUGGGAGCUGCAACAGGUGGAAAACCUCCGGUACGUGGGGCGCACUGGACCGGUUCACCCCUUCCGACCUGGCUAUACAGACGUUGGGACUCUCGGAGCCGGCAUGAGACUUGCAGGUGGCCUUGGUUUCUUAGACAGGCACAGAGGGCUAACUCCCUACUGGUUGACAUGCGGAACUUGUUCAACUUCUUUCGGGGUGGUUCUAUCUGCUGAUUCUUGGAGAUAGACUGUCUGGAUGCACUGGUUCUGGUUGAUCGAGCAACUACAGUUAUUCAGAUAAACAGGUCAUAGACGACAGGUGAAACAACUUUAACAACGGUAAACGGUCCGGAAAACUUCG